UGCUCUUGACAUCCCACUGACCGGCGAGCAGCGUCGCCUUCCCUUCGGGGCAGUGGAGACAGGUGGUGCAUGGUUGUCGUCAGCUCGUGUCGUGAGAUGUUGGGUUAAGUCCCGCAACGAGCGCAACCCCUAUCCUCAGUAGCCAGCAGUCCGGCUGGGCACUCUGGGGAGACUGCCGGGGAUAACCCGGAGGAAGGCGGGGAUGACGUCAAAUCAUCAUGCCCCUUAUGAGCAGGGCUUCACACGUGCUACAAUGACGGUUACAAAGGGAUGCGAACCCGCGAGGGGGAGCGAACCCCAAAAAGGCCGUCUGAGUUCGGAUUGUAGUCUGCAACUCGACUACAUGAAGCUGGAAUCGCUAGUCAUCGCGAAUCAGCAUGUCGCGGUGAAUACGACCCCGGGUC
This 404-nucleotide ribosomal RNA is filed under the name uncultured bacterium. RNAcentral's name for it is "bacterial SSU rRNA". It matches the Rfam family "Bacterial small subunit ribosomal RNA", at positions 976 to 1380 of the family's 1533-position model. The record is from RNAcentral.